RNAcentral lists this ribosomal RNA (253 nucleotides) under uncultured bacterium. RNAcentral describes it as "partial 16S ribosomal RNA". It matches the Rfam family "Bacterial small subunit ribosomal RNA", at positions 524 to 776 of the family's 1533-position model. The record is from RNAcentral.
UACGUAGGGUGCAGGCGUUAAUCGGAAUUACUGGGCGUAAGGCGUGCGCAGGCGGUUUGUUAAGACAGAUGUGAAAUCCCCGGGCUUAACCUGGGAACUGCGUUUGUAACUGGCAAGCUAGAGUGUGGCAGAGGGGGGUGGAAUUCCACGUGUAGCAGUGAAAUGCGUAGAUAUGUGGAGGAAUACCGAUGGCGAAGGCAGCCCCCUGGGAUAACACUGACGCUCAUGCACGAAAGCGUGGGGAGCAAACAGG